Molecule: long non-coding RNA, 432 nt
Filed under: Ursus maritimus (polar bear)
Lineage: Eukaryota; Metazoa; Chordata; Mammalia; Carnivora; Ursidae
Description: lncRNA (ENSUMAG00000005313.1)
Source: RNAcentral
GGGUGAUUUUCCUGUUGGCAAGAGGCAGAAGAGACACACCAAGCAUCACCUUCAGGAACAAGCAAUUUAAGUACUAUAAUGAGAUGGGUCUUUUCAGAGUCUAUAAUUGGUGACAAGGACUGUGUAUGGUUUGGUUCUAACCAAAAUUCUGAUCAAAACCCGAAUAAGUUCAUUUUCUGCCUGAUUCAGCAUUUACAAGGGACCUACACAAAUCCUCAUUUCCAAAGGGAAUUCUAAUUAGACCAUUCAAAUGCCCGGCAUCUCCUUCUUAACUAUCAUUGAACCAGGAUAAGCCUGUGACUCAAGCUGUCUAUUCAUGACAUGAAAAUGACCUCCGUGGUAGAUUUUGAGAGGAACAGAGUCUUAGCUUUCACAUGUUCUCUUCUUAUGAAAGUCAAUAAAUAACCUUCAGAUACCUCGGGCUCCCUUCGU